GAAAUGCGAUAAGUAAUGUGAAUUGCAGAAUUCAGUGAAUAAUCGAAUCUUUGAACGCACAUUGCGCCCGCCAGUAUUCUGGCGGGCAUGCCUGUUCGAGCGUCAUUACAACCCUCAGGCCCCCGGGCCUGGCGUUGGGGAUCGGCGGAAGCCCCCUGCGGGCACAACGCCGUCCCCCAAAUACAGUGGCGGUCCCGCCGCAGCUUCCAUUGCGUAGUAGCUAACACCUCGCAACUGGAGAGCGGCGCGGCCACGCCGUAAAACACCCAACUUCUGAAUGUUGACCUCGAAUCAGGUAGGAAUACCCGCUGAACUUAAGC
RNAcentral lists this unclassified non-coding RNA (320 nucleotides) under plant metagenome. RNAcentral's name for it is "partial contains 5.8S ribosomal RNA, internal transcribed spacer 2, and large subunit ribosomal RNA". The stretch from base 1 to 105 matches the Rfam family "5.8S ribosomal RNA", at positions 50 to 154 of the family's 154-position model. The record is from RNAcentral.